GCUGGCGGCGUGCUUAACACAUGCAAGUCGAACGGUAAGGCCCUUCGGGGUACACGAGUGGCGAACGGGUGAGUAACACGUGGGUGAUCUGCCCUGCACUUCGGGAUAAGCCCGGGAAACUGGGUCUAAUACCGRAUAGGAYUGCGCGGUGCAUGCCGUGUGGUGGAAAGAUUUAUCGGUGCAGGAUGGGCCCGCGGCCUAUCAGCUUGUUGGUGGGGUAAUGGCCUACCAAGGCGACGACGGGUAGCCGGCCUGAGAGGGCGACCGGCC
This 270-nucleotide ribosomal RNA is filed under the name Rhodococcoides corynebacterioides. Its description in RNAcentral is "Rhodococcus corynebacterioides partial 16S ribosomal RNA". It matches the Rfam family "Bacterial small subunit ribosomal RNA", at positions 35 to 309 of the family's 1533-position model. The record is from RNAcentral. Lineage: Bacteria; Bacillati; Actinomycetota; Actinomycetes; Mycobacteriales; Nocardiaceae.